RNAcentral lists this ribosomal RNA (899 nucleotides) under uncultured bacterium. Its description in RNAcentral is "bacterial SSU rRNA". It matches the Rfam family "Bacterial small subunit ribosomal RNA", at positions 33 to 915 of the family's 1533-position model. The record is from RNAcentral.
ACGCUGGCGGCGUGCCUAAUACAUGCAAGUAGAACGCUGAAGGAGGAGCUUGCUUCUCUGGAUGAGUUGCGAACGGGUGAGUAACGCGUAGGUAACCUGCCUGGUAGCGGGGGAUAACUAUUGGAAACGAUAGCUAAUACCGCAUAACAGUAGAUGUUGCAUGAUAUUUGCUUAAAAGGUGCAAUUGCAUCACUACCAGAUGGACCUGCGUUGUAUUAGCUAGUUGGUGGGGUAACGGCUCACCAAGGCGACGAUACAUAGCCGACCUGAGAGGGUGAUCGGCCACACUGGGACUGAGACACGGCCCAGACUCCUACGGGAGGCAGCAGUAGGGAAUCUUCGGCAAUGGACGGAAGUCUGACCGAGCAACGCCGCGUGAGUGAAGAAGGUUUUCGGAUCGUAAAGCUCUGUUGUAAGAGAAGAACAGGUGUGAGAGUGGAAAGUUCACACUGUGACGGUAUCUUACCAGAAAGGGACGGCUAACUACGUGCCAGCAGCCGCGGUAAUACGUAGGUCCCGAGCGUUGUCCGGAUUUAUUGGGCGUAAAGCGAGCGCAGGCGGUUAGAUAAGUCUGAAGUUAAAGGCUGUGGCUUAACCAUAGUACGCUUUGGAAACUGUUUAACUUGAGUGCAAGAGGGGAGAGUGGAAUUCCAUGUGUAGCGGUGAAAUGCGUAGAUAUAUGGAGGAACACCGGUGGCGAAAGCGGCUCUCUGGCUUGUAACUGACGCUGAGGCUCGAAAGCGUGGGGAGCAAACAGGAUUAGAUACCCCUGGUAGUCCACGCCGUAAACGAUGAGUGCUAGGUGUUAGACCCUUUCCGGGGUUUAGUGCCGCAGCUAACGCAUUAAGCACUCCGCCUGGGGAGUACGACCGCAAGGUUGAAACUCAAAGGAAUUGACG